AUUGAACGUUGGCGGCAGGCCUAACACAUGCAAGUCGAGCGGAUGAAGAGAGCUUGCUCUCUGAUUCAGCGGCGGACGGGUGAGUAAUGCCUAGGAAUCUGCCUGGUAGUGGGGGACAACGUUUCGAAAGGAACGCUAAUACCGCAUACGUCCUACGGGAGAAAGCAGGGGACCUUCGGGCCUUGCGCUAUCAGAUGAGCCGAAGUCGGAUUAGCUAGUUGGUGAGGUAAUGGCUCACCAAGGCGACGAUCCGUAACUGGUCUGAGAGGAUGAUCAGUCACGCUGGAACUGAGACACGGUCCAGACUCCUACGGGAGGCAGCAGUGGGGAAUAUUGGACAAUGGGCGAAAGCCUGAUCCAGCCAUGCCGCGUGUGUGAAGAAGGUCUUCGGAUUGUAAAGCACUUUAAGUUGGGAGGAAGGGCAGUAAGCGAAUACCUUGCUGUUUUGACGUUACCGACAGAAUAAGCACCGGCUAACUCUGUGCCAGCCGCCGCAGUAA
RNAcentral lists this ribosomal RNA (500 nucleotides) under uncultured bacterium. RNAcentral's name for it is "partial 16S ribosomal RNA". It matches the Rfam family "Bacterial small subunit ribosomal RNA", at positions 30 to 523 of the family's 1533-position model. The record is from RNAcentral.